This 76-nucleotide transfer RNA is filed under the name Bacillota bacterium. RNAcentral's name for it is "Firmicutes bacterium (gut metagenome) tRNA-Gln". It matches the Rfam family "tRNA". Rfam says of the family: Transfer RNA (tRNA) molecules are approximately 80 nucleotides in length. Their secondary structure includes four short double-helical elements and three loops (D, anti-codon, and T loops). Further hydrogen bonds mediate the characteristic L-shaped molecular structure. tRNAs have two regions of fundamental functional importance: the anti-codon, which is responsible for specific mRNA codon recognition, and the 3' end, to which the tRNAs corresponding amino acid is attached (by aminoacyl-tRNA synthetases). tRNAs cope with the degeneracy of the genetic code in two manners: having more than one tRNA (with a specific anti-codon) for a particular amino acid; and 'wobble' base-pairing, i.e. permitting non-standard base-pairing at the 3rd anti-codon position. The record is from RNAcentral. Lineage: Bacteria; Bacillati; Bacillota.
UGGGCUGUCGCCAAGCGGUAAGGCAACGGACUUUGACUCCGUCAUGACGCAGGUUCGAAUCCCGCCAGCCCAGCCA